UUGCCUGACGGCAAUAGCGCUGUGGAACCACCUGAUCCCAUGCCGAACUCAGAAGUGAAACGCAGUAGCGCCGAUGGUAGUGUGGCAUUCGCCAUGCGAGAGUAGGACACUGUCAGGCACC
This 121-nucleotide ribosomal RNA is filed under the name Aeromonas salmonicida. The record is from RNAcentral. Lineage: Bacteria; Pseudomonadati; Pseudomonadota; Gammaproteobacteria; Aeromonadales; Aeromonadaceae.